Long non-coding RNA from Oncorhynchus gorbuscha (pink salmon), 3370 nucleotides. RefSeq lists it as uncharacterized. The transcript is spliced from 3 exons. The record is from RefSeq and is a predicted model, not a curated record. Lineage: Eukaryota; Metazoa; Chordata; Actinopteri; Salmoniformes; Salmonidae.
AGAAGUUAAAUGUUGUGCAGAGGGUGUGGCCAACACCAGCACUGCCCUAAUUGGUACAUUGUGGAAAGAGCUUUGAAAGGCAUUUUCAAGCUAACAAUUAUGAGCGCUAUCCAUGGAUGACCCAGUGUGAGUAAACCAGGAAACUGUUCUGCUGGGAUUGUCUACUCUUCAGAACCUACAAAGCGUCAAACUGGGCCAGUACUGGUUUCAAAGUCCUACCCAGUUUUACGAAGUCAACUCUGCACCACCAAGACUCAACUUCACACCUGCAAGCUACAGUGAGUUCAAAAACAUUUGGGGACACAAGUGUAGACAUUCAGCUUAACAAACAGCUGCGUAGAGACUCUUUCUCACAACGAUGAAGUCAGGCCGAACAGGGAGAUUCUGGCCAAAGUAGGCUACGUGGCACAGGAUGGAGAGAGAAAGCGACGGACGGAGUGACACAGACGGUGGCACCAUAGGUUGCCGGAGAGAUUAGACUGAUUGCAAUCGAGAGCUACUGCAUCAUCACUGGAUUGGAGAAACACUUCGAAGGCCCCUACCUAGAAGUCAGACCCUUUGGUCAAAAGGCUCUGGAUGAACCUUGGCUCUCACACAGGGAUGUAUGAGACACAACACCCUCUGGAACGAUGGACACAGACCUUUGAGGAACUUGUCAACUAGACAGAGGACCUCCUAGACCCAAUAGACCCAUUGAACCAGAAAUAAAUGUUCAAAUUCUCCAUCAAGCCCAGCUGUUUUACGUCAAGUUGAAUAAUGUUAAAUGAGUGAGACUUGAUUGAACUGUGCAGCACUCACAGGAUUAUGAAGUUCCAAAUGAUCUCAAUGACGUCCUGAAGAAAAAGUGAAUGUUGAACCCUAGUUAAAUAAAGGUCAAAUGAAAACCCUAUGCCUAUGGGCCCUGGUCAAAAGUAACGCACUGAAUAAGUUUCAGCUUUGAGGGUGCUGAAGUCCCAGUUCCGAGGUAGCUUGAGAGACAUUCUCCCUCCUUCAUAGGAAAGAUCUGUAAGGUAUGUACGCAAUAUGGUGGAAGCUCCAUCACUGGACUGCAUAUACCUAUCCUGAGACUGCAGAUCUGGCAAAAGAGGAGUUCGGACCAAGGGAGACGGGUAGGGAGCGAUUUGGGAUCGGCUAACAAACUGACUGACAGACAGAAGGCUUAUGGAAAGGAGGAUGAGGAUCACUCACAAUCAGCAUGAGCACCAUGGGACCCAGAUAUAUGAUGAUGAAGAAGAAGGAGAUCAUGGCCAGAGUCAGGAUCCCUCGCACCCACCAGUUCUUCCAUCUGAGAACACACACACAGUUAAUCCCCAUAUACAGUGUGUAAGGAAAAGGUGAACAAUAAGCAUCCAUAUCAGUUGUCUGUGUGCCCAGUUGUCUGUGUGCUGGGCAAUACAUUCCUGAAGAAUGUCAAUAUAGGCCUACACAGAUCAAUAGUUAUAUUGAGCAUAGCAGAUGGUAUUUCAUUAGCAUUCAAUAAUCCCCAUGUCUGAAUAACAGGAUGUUGUUAGGAUGGAGGACCAAACCAAAGAUAGUAAAUAAAAAAAUCUAGAUGUUGGUUGUGUCCCAAAUGGCACUCUAUUCCCUAUAGGCCUAGUGGCACUACUUUUGACCAGAUACUUAUGGGACACAGAUAUUACGUUUUGUAAAUAGGUGAUAUUUCCCUUGUUCCAAACCGGAGGUUGUGAUUACCAUAAGAAAAUAGUCAAUUAAAAAAGAAUAUAUAUGUUGGAAGUGUUUACCGUGAGGACAGUCCAGAUAGGGCUUUAUUGAGAACCUCAGGGGUGUCAUCAGCAGGGACAGGCACCUCCGGGAGCCCUGUAUCAGGCUUGGUCUCGCUUUCAGACACCCCCUCUGCUUUCCCCUCAUUCUCAGAUCCCUACAGAGAGAGAAAGAGAGAGCGGGGAGAGAGAGAGAGGGGGGAGAUAGAGAGACAGACACAGAUAUAGAUAGAGUUAGUCAUACAAUGUAAACAAACACAGCUAGCCCCCUAUGAGGAAUGCUCCCCCACUUCCUUUCCGGGUCUAUUUUAUGUCAGUGAACAACAUUGUGAGAGCAAGCUUGUAGUGCUUUUCCGCUUUGGUGUUAGGAUAGUCUGUCUGAUAAAUAUACGGCUGAUGGUGACAGAGUAAUCAACAUAUUUCAUGGUGUCUGCCCCCUUGAUACUGUCUGAAAGCGGAUGACCCUCUGCUUUCCAAGGUAACAAAAUGUGUCAUUAGACAUUGCAGACUGCUGUGCUGUCAUCGUGGUCUCUCCCCCCUAGCUCUACCAAAAUUGCACUGUUGUGUCACCUAACCUCCUAUUAACACAACAGAUAGCUGUUAGCCUACACUGCCUGUCUCGGUUGACAACACACAUACUGUGUACACACAUAUAGCAGUAGGCCUAGCUAUCAAGCUGAUGGAACCCUCAGGCUUGCUGGUUCCCAUUUCCUAUCAGGCAGGAUGCCCUGGAUAAAAAUAGCCCCUCCUUCCACACUCCUGUUACUGAAGAGACCCCUUUCAUGUUCCGUGGGAGGCAAGGAGCAGCACUACACUACCCACACCUCGUUUUGUUUUUGUCUCUGGUCACAUUAUCAGAAUCAAGAGAUUUAUUCAACCAUGUUAAAUAAGUAAUGUAGGCCUAUGCAAUUUCCUUCUACCUUAUCAACUACGCUACCACAAUAAUAGACAUGCACAUGCAGUCAUACAUACUAUACACAACAAACAAGGGUCAGUGCUAUCCGGGAUCCUUGGGAUGUCCCUAACCUUACCCCAUUGAAAUGUAAAAGGUUAGGGUAGGGGUUAACAUCCAACAAACAUGCCAUUUCCUUUGGGUAUAAAUAAGCUGGAUCUAUUUUCCAGUGUCCUUAGGCUGUCACAAUUUGACUUAUAUAACCAUUCUUCAAACUUUCUGAGAGCAAGCCGAGUCAACUUUGGCUCAAAUGAUUUCAACUCAAAAACAUUUUGUAGGCACAAGACAGAGACACUAAGUUAUCCAUGGAGAAUUGAUGAUGCACCUGCAGGCACGGUCCUUCUACAGUGAUGUCUGACAGAAUCAAACUACAGAGCGCCACGGCCCUAUACCACCAGCACAACACAGCUGCAUGAUGAAACCUGCCUAACCGAACGUAGCAGGAGUAGACAGACGCCAGAGCGGAGUCGUCAACCAGAAACAUCCGCUUUCUGCCAACGUCGCUAAGGGGGGCACCAGGCUGGCAAUCACUGAUCAAAAACCAAGACGCAAAGGCCUACAUUCUGAGGCGGGAAUGCAAGUCAAAGUGGACUUGGAGGGGGGAACACAGCAUGUAUUUUACGGACCCUGAAACUAGUAAAGCCCCACAGUGGAGCCUGUGUGAUGGAUGAGGAGAGCAAAUGCAACACAACAAAGC